AUUGAACGCUGGCGGCAUGCUUUACACAUGCAAGUCGAACGGGGUGAGGGGGCAACUCUUCAUUCAGUGGCGAACGGGUGAGUAAUGCAUCGGAACGUAUCCCGUAGUGGGGGACAACGCCGCGAAAGCGGCGCUAAUACCGCAUAUGCUCUACGGAGGAAAGUGGGGGACCUGAAAGGGCCUCACGCUAUGGGAGCGGCCGAUGUCCGAUUAGCUAGUUGGUGGGGUAAUGGCCCACCAAGGCGACGAUCGGUAGCUGGUCUGAGAGGAUGAUCAGCCACACUGGGACUGAGACACGGCCCAGACUCCUACGGGAGGCUG
RNAcentral lists this ribosomal RNA (321 nucleotides) under uncultured Pseudomonadota bacterium. RNAcentral describes it as "bacterial SSU rRNA". It matches the Rfam family "Bacterial small subunit ribosomal RNA", at positions 30 to 351 of the family's 1533-position model. Lineage: Bacteria; Pseudomonadati; Pseudomonadota. The record is from RNAcentral.